Molecule: non-coding RNA, 769 nt
Filed under: Metasalis populi
Lineage: Eukaryota; Metazoa; Arthropoda; Insecta; Hemiptera; Tingidae
Source: RNAcentral
AAAGUAAUUGAUUUUGUUACCAAAAUUUUAAGUUAAUUAAUAUUAAACAUGUAAAUAUUAAUGUUUAUUUUAUUUUUAUUAAAUAUAAAGAUUAAUUAUACAAUUUUCAGUUUUUAAUAUUAUUUAUUUAAUAUAUUAAAAUAUAGUAAUUAAUUUUAAUAUUAACAAAUUUUAGUGCCAGCAGUUGCGGUUAUUCUAAUAAUAUAAUUUAAAAUUUGUAGGUUAGGUAUUAAAUUUUUAAAUUAUUAUUUUUAAUUAUAUUUAUUAAGUGAAAUUUUAAAUAUAAAUUUAAAUAUAGGUUAAUUAUAUAUUAAUAUAUAUAUAAAACUAGGAUUAGAUACCCUAUUAUACUAUUAUAAAUUAAAAACCUUAUUAUUAAUAGCUAUUUCUUUAAAAUAAAAAAAUUUGGCGGUAAUUAAAAAUUGUUUAGAGGAACCUGUUUUUUAAUCGAUAAUCCACGAUUUAUUUCACCUUAAAUAUUUCUUAUAUACCGCUAUCAUUGAAUAUUUUAUUAGAAAAUUUUCAACAAUUAUUUUAUUACAAAAUGUUAGGUCAAGGUUUAGUUUUUUAAGGUUAAAAAUGGGUUACAUUAAUUAUAAUUUUGGAUUUUAAGUUUUUAUAUUUAAAUAAAAUUGGAUUUAAUUGUAAUAUUUAAAUUAAUUUUUUUUAUGAAAUUAUUAUGAUUAUGUACAUAUCGCCCGUCAUUCUCAUAAAUUGAGACAAGUCGUAACAAAGUAGGGGUAUUGGAAAAUAUUCCUGGUAAUAAAUU